RNAcentral lists this ribosomal RNA (497 nucleotides) under uncultured bacterium. RNAcentral describes it as "partial 16S ribosomal RNA". It matches the Rfam family "Bacterial small subunit ribosomal RNA", at positions 28 to 507 of the family's 1533-position model. The record is from RNAcentral.
GAUGAACGCUGGCGGCGUGCCUAAUACAUGCAAGUCGAGCGAACAGACGAGGAGCUUGCUCCUCUGACGUUAGCGGCGGACGGGGGAGUAACACGCGUAUAACCUACCUAUAAGAGUGGGAGAAAUUCGGGAAACCGGAGCGAAUAUCGGAUAAUAUAUUUAACCGCGUCGUUCAAUAGUGAAAGACGGUGUUGCUGUCACUUAUAGAUUGAUUGGCGCCGAAUUGGCUAGUUGGUAAGGUAACGGCUUACCAAGGGAUCGACGGGUAGCCGACCUGAGAGGGGGAUCGGCAAAACGGGAACUGAACAACGGUCAAGACUCCUACGGGAGGAAGAAGGAGGGAAUCUUCCGAAAUGAGGGAAAGCCUACCGGACCACCGCCCGGUGAGUGAUGCGGCUCUUCGGAUCGUAAAACUCUGUUAUUAGGGCGGAACAAAUGUGUAAGUAAAUAUGCACGGCUUGACGGUACCUAAUCAGAAAGCCACGGCUAACUACGUG